RNAcentral lists this ribosomal RNA (409 nucleotides) under Tristoma integrum. RNAcentral's name for it is "eukaryotic LSU rRNA". It matches the Rfam family "Eukaryotic large subunit ribosomal RNA", at positions 64 to 439 of the family's 3401-position model. The record is from RNAcentral. Lineage: Eukaryota; Metazoa; Platyhelminthes; Monogenea; Capsalidea; Capsalidae.
ACUAAACAGGAUUCUCUUAGUAACUGCGAGUGAACAGAGAUUAGCCCAAUAUCGAAGCUCACAAGCAUAUUGUUUGUUGAGCAAUGUGAUAUUAAGAUGCUUGCUAACGUAUAGUGGCCGACUUGAAGUCCAAAUUUGAAUGUGGCAUGUUGGUAUAAACCCCAAAGAUGGUGAAAGGCCCGUUCAAGUUGGUAAUCAGAUGUGACAUUAUACGUAUAUGCAUUCAUCAUGGAGUCGGAUUGCUUGAGAGUGCAGUCCAAAGUUGGUGGUAAACUCCAUCUAAGGCUAAAUACCUGUACGAGUCCGAUAGUUAACAAGUACCGUGAGGGAAAGUUGAAAAGUACUCUGAAGAGAGAGUAAACAGUACGUGAAACUACUUGGAGGUUAAUCAGAUAGAGUCAAGCUGCUU